Molecule: ribosomal RNA, 497 nt
Filed under: uncultured bacterium
Lineage: Bacteria
Description: partial 16S ribosomal RNA
Rfam family: Bacterial small subunit ribosomal RNA
Source: RNAcentral
GAUGAACGCUGGCGGCGUGCCUAAUACAUGCAAGUCGAGCGAACAGACGAGGCGCUUGCUCCUCUGACGUUAGCGGCGGACGUGUGAGUAACACGUGUAUAACCUCCCUAUAAGUCUGGGAUAACUUCGGGAAUCCGGAGCUAAUACCGGAUAAUAUAUUGAACCGCGGGGUUCAAUAGUGAAAGACGGUUUUGCUGUCACUUAUAGAUGGAUCCGCGCCGCAUUAGCUAGUUGGUAAGGUAACGGCUUACCAAGGCUACGAUGCGUAGCCGACCUGAGAGGGUGAUCGGCCACACUGGAACUGAGACACGGUCCAGACUCCUACGGGAGGCAGCAGUAGGGAAUCUUCCGCAAUGGGCGAAAGCCUGACGGAGCAACGCCGCGUGAGUGAUGAAGGUCUUCGGAUCGUAAAACGCUGUUAUUAGGGAAGAACAAAUGUGGAAGUAACUAUGCACGUAUUGACGGUACCGAAUCAGAAAGCACCGGCUAACUACGUG